This 603-nucleotide ribosomal RNA is filed under the name uncultured bacterium. RNAcentral describes it as "bacterial SSU rRNA". It matches the Rfam family "Bacterial small subunit ribosomal RNA", at positions 8 to 574 of the family's 1533-position model. The record is from RNAcentral.
AGAGUUUGAUCAUGGCUCAGGAUAAACGCUGGCGGCGCACAUAAGACAUGCAAGUCGAACGGAAGUCGUUGUAAUGAAAUGGAAAUGGACAGAGAACUUGUUCGAAGAAAGUUGAAGUAGACUUACAACAAUGGCUUUAGUGGCGGACUGGUGAGUAACGCGUAAGGAACCUGCCUUUUAGAGGGGAAUAACAAUGAGAAAUCAUUGCUAAUACCGCAUAUGCCGAGAGAAUCACAUGGUACAAUCGGGAAAGGAGCAAUUCGCUAAAAGAUGGCCUUGCGUCUGAUUAGAUAGUUGGUGGGGUAACGGCCUACCAAGUCGACGAUCAGUAGCCGGACUGAGAGGUUGAACGGCCACAUUGGGACUGAGAUACGGCCCAGACUCCUACGGGAGGCAGCAGUCGGGAAUAUUGCGCAAUGGAGGAAACUCUGACGCAGUGACGCCGCGUAUAGGAAGAAGGUUUUCGGAUUGUAAACUAUUGUCGUUAGGGAAGAGAAAGGACAGUACCUAAGGAGGAAGCUCCGGCUAACUACGUGCCAGCAGCCGCGGUAAUACGUAGGGAGCGAGCGUUAUCCGGAAUUAUUGGGUGUAAAGGGUGCGUAA